RNAcentral lists this ribosomal RNA (677 nucleotides) under uncultured crenarchaeote. RNAcentral's name for it is "bacterial SSU rRNA". It matches the Rfam family "Archaeal small subunit ribosomal RNA", at positions 321 to 1001 of the family's 1478-position model. Lineage: Archaea; Thermoproteati; Thermoproteota. The record is from RNAcentral.
CCCUAUGGGGUGCAGCAGUUACGAAAACUCCCCAAUUCACGAAAGUGUGAGGGGGCUAUCCCGAGUGCCGUCCGCUGAGGAUGGCUUUUCCCCAUUGUACAAAGCUGGGGGAAUAAGGAGAGGGCAAGACUGGUGUCAGCCGCCGCGGUAAUACCAGCUCUCCGAGUGGUGGGGACGUUUAUUGGGCCUAAAGCAUCCGUAGCCUGCUGGAAAAGUCCUCCGUUAAAUCCACCGAUUCAAUCGGUGGGCUGCGGGGGAUACUGUUCAACUAGGGAGCGGGAGAGGCUGACCGUAUUCUCGGAGUAGGGGUGAAAUCUUAUAAUUCCGAGAGGACCACCAGUGGCGAAGGCUGUCAGCUAGAACGCGUCCGACGGUGAGGGAUGAAAGCUGGGGGAGCGAACCGGAUUAGAUACCCGGGUAGUCCCAGCUGUAAACUCUGCAGGCUAGGUGUUGGAGCGGCUACGUGCCGCCUCAGUGCCCAAGGGAAGCCGUUAAGCCUGCCGCCUGGGAAGUACGGUCGCAAGGCUGAAACUUAAAGGAAUUGGCGGGGGAGCACCACAAGGGGUGAAGCUUGCGGUUUAAUUGGAGUCAACGCCGGAAACCUCACCGGGGGCGACAGCCGAAUGAAAGUCAGAUUAAAGUCUUACUGGACAAGCUGAGAGGAAGUGCAUGGGCAA